AGUAAAUUGGUUAAGUUAGAAAGGGCGCACGGUGGAUGCCUUGGCACUAGGAGCCGAAGAAGGACGGGACUAACACCGAUAUGCUUUGGGGAGCUGUACGUAAGCGUUGAUCCAGAGAUUUCCGAAUGGGGGAACCCACUAUCUUUAGUCGGAUAGUAUCCUUACGUGAAUACAUAGCGUGAGGAAGGCAGACCCAGGGAACUGAAACAUCUAAGUACCUGGAGGAAGAGAAAGAAAAAUCGAUUUCCUGAGUAGCGGCGAGCGAAACGGAAAGAGCCCAAACCAAGAAGCUUGCUUCUUGGGGUUGUAGGACACUCUAUACGGAGUUACAAAAGAAAGUUAUAAAUGAAGCGGUCUGGAAAGGCCCGCCAAAGACGGUAACAGCCCGGUAGUUGAAAUGGCUUUCCCUCCAGAGUGGAUCCUGAGUACG
This 430-nucleotide ribosomal RNA is filed under the name Listeria monocytogenes. RNAcentral's name for it is "partial 23S ribosomal RNA". It matches the Rfam family "Bacterial large subunit ribosomal RNA", at positions 1 to 416 of the family's 2925-position model. Lineage: Bacteria; Bacillati; Bacillota; Bacilli; Caryophanales; Listeriaceae. The record is from RNAcentral.